This 73-nucleotide transfer RNA is filed under the name Polyangiaceae bacterium. Its description in RNAcentral is "tRNA-Gly". It matches the Rfam family "tRNA". From Rfam's summary of the family: Transfer RNA (tRNA) molecules are approximately 80 nucleotides in length. Their secondary structure includes four short double-helical elements and three loops (D, anti-codon, and T loops). Further hydrogen bonds mediate the characteristic L-shaped molecular structure. tRNAs have two regions of fundamental functional importance: the anti-codon, which is responsible for specific mRNA codon recognition, and the 3' end, to which the tRNAs corresponding amino acid is attached (by aminoacyl-tRNA synthetases). tRNAs cope with the degeneracy of the genetic code in two manners: having more than one tRNA (with a specific anti-codon) for a particular amino acid; and 'wobble' base-pairing, i.e. permitting non-standard base-pairing at the 3rd anti-codon position. The record is from RNAcentral. Lineage: Bacteria; Pseudomonadati; Myxococcota; Polyangiales; Polyangiaceae.
GCGGGUGUAGCUCAGUUGGUAGAGCGCUAGCCUUCCAAGCUAGCCGUCGUCGGUUCGAACCCGUCCACCCGCU